RNAcentral lists this transfer RNA (95 nucleotides) under Capronia epimyces CBS 606.96. It matches the Rfam family "tRNA". From Rfam's summary of the family: Transfer RNA (tRNA) molecules are approximately 80 nucleotides in length. Their secondary structure includes four short double-helical elements and three loops (D, anti-codon, and T loops). Further hydrogen bonds mediate the characteristic L-shaped molecular structure. tRNAs have two regions of fundamental functional importance: the anti-codon, which is responsible for specific mRNA codon recognition, and the 3' end, to which the tRNAs corresponding amino acid is attached (by aminoacyl-tRNA synthetases). tRNAs cope with the degeneracy of the genetic code in two manners: having more than one tRNA (with a specific anti-codon) for a particular amino acid; and 'wobble' base-pairing, i.e. permitting non-standard base-pairing at the 3rd anti-codon position. Lineage: Eukaryota; Fungi; Ascomycota; Eurotiomycetes; Chaetothyriales; Herpotrichiellaceae. The record is from Rfam by way of RNAcentral.
GGGAGGAUGGCCGAGUGGUUAAGGCGCUGUGUUUAGGUCUCUAUAGUAUCAAUCCGCAGUGGGAAACCGCGUGGGUUCGAACCCCACUCCUCUCA